AGAAGGUAUAGCAACAGCUAGUUGUAUAAAUAUAACUGUAACAGGUUUUUUUAUUUUACAAUAUCGAGUUUCUCGAAUAAAAUUCUAGGUAGAUUUAUGAUAAUGACAUUAUCUAUCUAUGUGUCUUGACCAAAAUACGUGCCAGCAGUCGCGGCAAGACGUAGAAGACUAGUGUUAUUCAUCUUUAAUUGGUUUAAAGCGUACCUAGACGGUAAUUAUAGCCUAAAUAAGGUACUUUUUUACUAGAGUUAUAUGUAAGGGUGUAUUAAAGUACUGUUGAGUUUAGAGAUGAAAUUCUUUGAUACCAGAUAAUUGGCACAGGUAAAGGCGAAAGCAUCACUUUAUGUAAUAACUGACGUUGACGGACGAAGGCUAUGUGUAGCAAACAGGAUUAGAGACCCUAGUAGUCUUAGCAGAAAAUUAUGAAUGUCAUAGGUUAGAUUUUAUUUGGUCUAUAAAUGAAAGUGUAAGCAUUCCACCUCAAGAGUAAUUUGGCAACAUUGGAACUGAAAUCAUUAGACCGUAUCUGAAAUCAGUAGUGAAGUAUGUUGUUUAAUUUGAUAAUCCGCAAAAAACCUUACCACAACUUGAAUAUAAAUUAUAUUUUUUUACAAGUGUUGCACGGCUGUCUUCAGUUAAUGUCGUGAGAUCUUGGUUUGCUCCAUUUAAUUAACGUAAACCCUUACUCUAUUUUUAUAUAGAGUUUUCCGCCGCUAUAUAUGAUGUGAUAAAAGGGACUAAGACAAGUCAUCAUGGC
Molecule: ribosomal RNA, 757 nt
Filed under: Fuscoderma applanatum
Lineage: Eukaryota; Fungi; Ascomycota; Lecanoromycetes; Peltigerales; Pannariaceae
Description: SSU rRNA
Rfam family: Bacterial small subunit ribosomal RNA
Source: RNAcentral